RNAcentral lists this ribosomal RNA (319 nucleotides) under uncultured Actinomycetes bacterium. RNAcentral describes it as "bacterial SSU rRNA". It matches the Rfam family "Bacterial small subunit ribosomal RNA", at positions 28 to 351 of the family's 1533-position model. The record is from RNAcentral. Lineage: Bacteria; Bacillati; Actinomycetota; Actinomycetes.
GACGAACGCUGGCGGCGUGCUUAACACAUGCAAGUCGAGCGGAAAGGCCCUUCGGGGUACUCGAGCGGCGAACGGGUGAGUAACACGUGAGUAACCUGCCCCUGACUCUGGGAUAAGCCUGGGAAACUGGGUCUAAUACCGGAUAUGACACCUCCUGGCAUCGGGUGGGUGUGGAAAGUUUUUCGGUUGGGGAUGGACUCGCGGCCUAUCAGCUUGUUGGUGGGGUAAUGGCCUACCAAGGCGACGACGGGUAGCCGGCCUGAGAGGGCGACCGGCCACACUGGGACUGAGACACGGCCCAGACUCCUACGGGAGGCAG